RNAcentral lists this unclassified non-coding RNA (338 nucleotides) under soil metagenome. RNAcentral describes it as "partial contains 5.8S ribosomal RNA, internal transcribed spacer 2, and large subunit ribosomal RNA". The stretch from base 1 to 120 matches the Rfam family "5.8S ribosomal RNA", at positions 35 to 154 of the family's 154-position model. The record is from RNAcentral.
GAUGAAGAACGUAGUGAAAUGCGAUAAGUAGUGUGAAUUGCAGAAUUCAGUGAAUCAUCGAAUCUUUGAACGCACAUUGCGCCCUUUGGUAUUCCUUAGGGCAUGCCUGUUCGAGCGUCAUUUGAAACCUCAAGCUCAGCUUGGUGUUGGGUGUCUGUCCCCGCCUCACCGCGGGGACUCGCCUCAAAAUCAUUGGCGGCCGGUACGUUGGCUUCGAGCGCAGCAGAAACGCGAACUCGAGGCCCGGCGGAUCGGCGACCAGAAGUCACUUCUUCACAGUUUGACCUCGGAUCAGGUAGGGAUACCCGCUGAACUUAAGCAUAUCAAUAAGCGGAGGA